GUGGGGAAUCUUCCGCAAUGGACGAAAGUCUGACGGAGCAACGCCGCGUGAGUGAUGAAGGUCUUCGGAUUGUAAAGCUCUGUUAAUCGGGACGAAAGAGCCUAGUGUGAAUAAUGCUAGGAAGUGACGGUACCGGAAUAGAAAGCCACGGCUAACUACGUGCCAGCAGCCGCGGUAAUACGUAGGUGGCAAGCGUUGUCCGGAAUUAUUGGGCGUAAAGCGCGCGCAGGCGGAUCUGCCAGUCUGUCUUAAAAGUUCGGGGCUUAACCCCGUGAUGGGAUGGAAACUACAGAUCUAGAGUAUCGGAGAGGAAAGUGGAAUUCCUAGUGUAGCGGUGAAAUGCGUAGAUAUUAGGAAGAACACCAGUGGCGAAGGCGACUUACUGGGCCGUAACUGACGCUGAGGCGCGAAAGCGUGGGGAGCGAACAGGAUUAGAAACCCUAGUAGUCC
RNAcentral lists this ribosomal RNA (450 nucleotides) under uncultured bacterium. RNAcentral's name for it is "partial 16S ribosomal RNA". It matches the Rfam family "Bacterial small subunit ribosomal RNA", at positions 354 to 796 of the family's 1533-position model. The record is from RNAcentral.